UUCUGACAUAGUCGAUUUCAGCUUAGGUUAGGACGAGGUCCUCCUCUUGUCGCUAACAGGGCUAUGGGGGCGCAUAUGGGCACUGCGGGGCCUCUCCCUCCAUCCAGUCUGAGUGUAACCGGGCCUUCGACUUUGCUCAUGUUAGGGCGAGGUUCUCCUCCUGUCCCUAACAUGGCUGUGGGGGCACAUGUGGGUAUUGCAGGGCCUCUCCUCUCAUCCGAUCUAAGGAGAACCGAGCCUUCGACUUUGCUCAUGUUAGGGCGAGGUUCUCCUCCUAUCCCUAACAUGGCUGUGGGGGCGCAUGUGGGCGCUGUUUGGCCUCUCCCCCC
This 329-nucleotide long non-coding RNA is filed under the name Elaeis guineensis (African oil palm). RNAcentral describes it as "long non-coding RNA (EGUI_LNC062304)". The record is from RNAcentral. Lineage: Eukaryota; Viridiplantae; Streptophyta; Magnoliopsida; Arecales; Arecaceae.